UUAAAUUGAAGAGUUUGAUCAUGGCUCAGAUUGAACGCUGGCGGCAGGCUUAACACAUGCAAGUCGAACGGUAGCAGGAAGG
RNAcentral lists this ribosomal RNA (82 nucleotides) under Glaesserella parasuis. RNAcentral's name for it is "partial 16S ribosomal RNA". It matches the Rfam family "Bacterial small subunit ribosomal RNA", at positions 1 to 80 of the family's 1533-position model. The record is from RNAcentral. Lineage: Bacteria; Pseudomonadati; Pseudomonadota; Gammaproteobacteria; Pasteurellales; Pasteurellaceae.